GACGAACGCUGGCGGCGUGCCUAAUACAUGCAAGUAGAACGCUGAAGGAGGAGCUUGCUUCUCCGGAUGAGUUGCGAACGGGUGAGUAACGCGUAGGUAACCUGCCUGGUAGCGGGGGAUAACUAUUGGAAACGAUAGCUAAUACCGCAUAACAGUAGAUGUUGCAUGACAUUUGCUUAAAAGGUGCAAUUGCAUCACUACCAGAUGGACCUGCGUUGUAUUAGCUAGUUGGUGAGGUAACGGCUCACCAAGGCGACGAUACAUAGCCGACCUGAGAGGGUGAUCGGCCACACUGGGACUGAGACACGGCCCAGACUCCUAUGGGAGGCAGCAGUAGGGAAUCUUCGGCAAUGGACGGAAGUCUGACCGAGCAACGCCGCGUGAGUGAAGAAGGUUUUCGGAUCGUAAAGCUCUGUUGUAAGAGAAGAACGAGUGUGAGAGUGGAAAGUUCACACUGUGACGGUAUCUUACCAGAAAGGGACGGCUAACUACGUG
RNAcentral lists this ribosomal RNA (495 nucleotides) under uncultured bacterium. RNAcentral's name for it is "partial 16S ribosomal RNA". It matches the Rfam family "Bacterial small subunit ribosomal RNA", at positions 28 to 507 of the family's 1533-position model. The record is from RNAcentral.